UACGGUGAGCAAUCGCUGCCUCCUUUUGGAGGUAGAGGAAAGUCGAGACACGCAUACCCUUUGGGUAUAAAAAGGUGCCCGGUGUAAGCCGGGGCAGGGCGACCUGACGACGGCAAAAGGAACUGUACGCAGUUUUGAGUAGCUGUAAAGUGCCACAGAAACUAUGUCACCGGGUGACCGGUGAGUGCAAGGGUAAACUCCGCCAGCGUGCAACCCAAAUAGGCAGUUUCUAACUGCGGGUAGGGGCAUCCCCAAAAGGGGAAGGGAUAAGUAUCCCUAGAUAGAUGAUUGCUUGAAAAAACAGAAUCUCGCUUACAGCC
This 320-nucleotide RNase P RNA is filed under the name Desulfotomaculum sp. RNAcentral's name for it is "RNase P RNA component class B". It matches the Rfam family "Bacterial RNase P class B". From Rfam's summary of the family: Ribonuclease P (RNase P) is a ubiquitous endoribonuclease, found in archaea, bacteria and eukarya as well as chloroplasts and mitochondria. Its best characterised activity is the generation of mature 5'-ends of tRNAs by cleaving the 5'-leader elements of precursor-tRNAs. The record is from RNAcentral. Lineage: Bacteria; Bacillati; Bacillota; Clostridia; Eubacteriales; Desulfotomaculaceae.